Molecule: long non-coding RNA, 529 nt
Filed under: Catharus ustulatus (Swainson's thrush)
Lineage: Eukaryota; Metazoa; Chordata; Aves; Passeriformes; Turdidae
Description: lncRNA (ENSCUSG00005000657.1)
Source: RNAcentral
CCGCCGAGGGAAGGCAGCCGCCUACAACUCCCAGGAGCACCGAGGGAGGUGGAGCGGGAGGGAGGCGCCUGCCCCUUCCGCGCCGCUCUGCCCGCCGGGAGUUGUGGUCCUGCCGCCGUUGUGGCCGCUCCGUGGAGGCUGGCACGGGACUCGGUGUCCCGGCGCGCCGCGGGCCGUGGGCGGAGGGGCCGAGGUGGGAAAGGCGGCAAGGCCGGCAGCUGCUGUGGACGGUGUUGGGGCUGUGCGGUGUUUGUUGGGGAGGCAGCAGGAAGAGUUCCAGAGUCUGUUUGAGCCACAGCAGGAUGGAGGAGCCCACUGGGAACCUUCCCAUCCGGAGAGACAUCCUCCUUUCCGAGUUGUGCUGUGAUCACGUCCCCGUACCCAGCCUGGUGGAAGUGCUGAGAUCUUUGGUGGCUUUAACUGACCCUCAGGAGGGGAAGCUGACUCAGUCUCAAGAGAAAGCACUAAACUGGCUGUGCAUUUGGAAAACUAUAUUUAGAGUUGUUCCUGGGCCUACAUCAAAGACCUC